RNAcentral lists this ribosomal RNA (433 nucleotides) under uncultured bacterium. Its description in RNAcentral is "partial 16S ribosomal RNA". It matches the Rfam family "Bacterial small subunit ribosomal RNA", at positions 29 to 507 of the family's 1533-position model. The record is from RNAcentral.
AACGAACGCUGGCGGCAUGCCUAACACAUGCAAGUCGAACGAGACCUUCGGGUCUAGUGGCGCACGGGUGCGUAACGCGUGGGAACCUGCCCUUAGGUUCGGAAUAACUCCCCGAAAGGGGUGCUAAUACCGGAUAAUGUCUUCGGACCAAAGAUUUAUCGCCUUUGGAUGGGCCCGCGUUGGAUUAGCUAGUUGGUAGGGUAAAAGCCUACCAAGGCGACGAUCCAUAGCUGGUCUGAGAGGAUGAUCAGCCACACUGGGACUGAGACACGGCCCAGACUCCUACGGGAGGAGGCAGUGGGGAAUAUUGGAAAAGGGGCGAAGGCCUGACCGAGCAAGGCCGCGUGAGUAAUGAAGGCCUUGGGGUUGAAAAGCUCUUUUACCCGGGAUGAUAAGGACGGUCCCGGGAAAAUAAGCCCCGGCUAACUCCGUG